This is a non-coding RNA of Gossypium raimondii (Peruvian cotton), 146 nucleotides long. Lineage: Eukaryota; Viridiplantae; Streptophyta; Magnoliopsida; Malvales; Malvaceae. The record is from Rfam.
UAUUAAAAUUUUUAUCCAUUUCUACCAUUAAAAACUAGCGUGACUGAAAAGAAUAAUAAAACAUUUACAUGUGACAUGUCAUGUGUACCUCAUGCUGACGUACAUGAAUUAGUUUUUAACAAUAAAAAUAGAUGAAAUUUUUAACA